GUGGGGAAUUUUGGACAAUGGGGGCAACCCUGAUCCAGCCAUGCCGCGUGCGGGAAGAAGGCCUUCGGGUUGUAAACCGCUUUUGUCAGGGAAGAAAUCCUUUGGGUUAAUACCUCGGAGGGAUGACGGUACCUGAAGAAUAAGCACCGGCUAACUACGUGCCAGCAGCCGCGGUAAUACGUAGGGUGCGAGCGUUAAUCGGAAUUACUGGGCGUAAAGCGUGCGCAGGCGGUUUUAUAAGAUCGAUGUGAAAUCCCCGGGCUCAACCUGGGAACUGCAUUGGUGACUGCAAGGCUGGAGUGCGGCAGAGGGGGAUGGAAUUCCGCGUGUAGCAGUGAAAUGCGUAGAUAUGCGGAGGAACACCGAUGGCGAAGGCAAUCCCCUGGGCCUGCACUGACGCUCAUGCACGAAAGCGUGGGGAGCAAACAGGAUUAGAUACCCCAGUAGUCC
Molecule: ribosomal RNA, 450 nt
Filed under: uncultured bacterium
Lineage: Bacteria
Description: partial 16S ribosomal RNA
Rfam family: Bacterial small subunit ribosomal RNA
Source: RNAcentral